CAACGAUCUAAACCUUGCACUUCAAACUGCAAACCCUGCCUUUAAGGACGACAUUUUGAAAUGGGGAUGCAAAGUUCCUGUUGUUCCCACAAAUCCAUACGGUCCCCUAUCUGGUUAUUUGAUUUUCAAUUUAAUGCACUCAUGGCAUGAUGGAACACUACAUUUUCCAGUACCCAAGGAUGAUUUUGAACUGAGGAAGCGCUUUUUGGUUCAUAUUUUGAAGUAUGAAGAAAAUGAAGUUCUAAACAAUAUCCCAGUCUUAGAACGAAGCAUUAUAGAUCGAAUCAAAAGAUGGACCUUCCAGAG
Triticum dicoccoides is the source of this 306-nucleotide long non-coding RNA. RefSeq lists it as uncharacterized. NCBI's taxonomy places the organism in Eukaryota, Viridiplantae, Streptophyta, Magnoliopsida, Poales, Poaceae. The record is from RefSeq and is a predicted model, not a curated record. The transcript has 3 exons.